AUCUAUGGCCAUACUAGUCUGAAAAUGCCUGAUCUCAGAAGCUAUCCAGACUUAGGCCUGGUUAGUACUUGUAUGAGAGACCAACUAGGAACUUCCAUUUCAUUCAGC
This is a non-coding RNA of Pelobates cultripes (western spadefoot toad), 108 nucleotides long. The record is from the annotation of a GenBank genome assembly. NCBI's taxonomy places the organism in Eukaryota, Metazoa, Chordata, Amphibia, Anura, Pelobatidae.